GCAUAACGCGAAGAACCUUACCAAGGCUUGACAUACACGAGAACACCCUGGAAACAGGGGACUCUUUGGACACUCGUGAACAGGUGGUGCAUGGUUGUCGUCAGCUCGUGUCGUGAGAUGUUGGGUUAAGUCCCGCAACGAGCGCAACCCUCGUUCUAUGUUGCCAGCACGUAAUGGUGGGAACUCAUGGGAUACUGCCGGGGUCAACUCGGAGGAAGGUGGGAUGACGUCAAAUCAUCAUGCCCCUUAUGUCUUGGGCUUCACGCAUGCUACAAUGGCCGGUACAAAGGGCUGCAAUACCGUGAGGUGGAGCGAAUCCCAAAAAGCCGUACCAGUUCGAUUGAGUCUGCAACUCGACCUCAUGAAGUCGGAGUCGCUAGUAAUCGCAGAUCAGCAACGCUGCGGUGAAUACGUUCCCGGGUCUUGUACACACCG
Molecule: ribosomal RNA, 435 nt
Filed under: uncultured bacterium
Lineage: Bacteria
Description: bacterial SSU rRNA
Rfam family: Bacterial small subunit ribosomal RNA
Source: RNAcentral